Molecule: non-coding RNA, 97 nt
Organism: Pelobates cultripes (western spadefoot toad)
Lineage: Eukaryota; Metazoa; Chordata; Amphibia; Anura; Pelobatidae
Source: the annotation of a GenBank genome assembly
AGUGUGUAUAUAAUGCAGUGUGUUUGCGUAGUGUGUUUAUAUAAUUUAUAUAAUGCACACUACACAAACACACUGCAUUAUAUACACACACACACAC